Molecule: ribosomal RNA, 427 nt
Filed under: uncultured bacterium
Lineage: Bacteria
Description: bacterial SSU rRNA
Rfam family: Bacterial small subunit ribosomal RNA
Source: RNAcentral
UGGGGAAUUUUGGACAAUGGACGCAAGUCUGAUCCAGCCAUGCCGCGUGCGGGAAGAAGGCCUUCGGGUUGUAAACCGCUUUUGUCAGGGAAGAAACGAGUUUCUCUAAUACAGAGACUUAAUGACGGUACCUGAAGAAUAAGCACCGGCUAACUACGUGCCAGCAGCCGCGGUAAUACAGAGGGUGCAAGCGUUAAUCGGAAUUACUGGGCGUAAAGCGCGCGUAGGUGGUUAGUUAAGUUGGAUGUGAAAUCCCCGGGCUCAACCUGGGAACUGCAUUCAAAACUGACUGACUAGAGUAUGGUAGAGGGUGGUGGAAUUUCCUGUGUAGCGGUGAAAUGCGUAGAUAUGCGGAGGAACACCGAUGGCGAAGGCAAUCCCCUGGACCUGUACUGACGCUCAUGCACGAAAGCGUGGGGAGCAAACA